This is a non-coding RNA of Parasteatoda tepidariorum (common house spider), 3278 nucleotides long. The record is from RefSeq and is a predicted model, not a curated record. Lineage: Eukaryota; Metazoa; Arthropoda; Arachnida; Araneae; Theridiidae.
UUUUUUUAUGAAACUAGAUUAUGAAUCUCUUUAGUUUUUAUUUGAUAUUAGCUUUUGGAAUAGCGCUUGUUUAUCUGUCAAGAAGCGAACAUUGCAGUGAUGACAAGUUAGAUGAAUGUUCUAAUACCUGGGUGACAUUUAUUGAUGAGUAUAGUCCAUCUAUGGAGAGUGAACUUAAAGAAAGUGAACUUAAUAUUUACUGUGGGAGAGUUGAAGAAGAUGGCAAAUGCUUAGAGGAUGCUGUUGCUGACUGUAAGAAAGAACAUCCUCUGGUAGCAGCCGCAUUUGCUAGUUUGUUGAAUGUUGUGAAAUGCCAACCAGGGACAGAUCAACGCUCGAUGUAUUUGAAAAUACUUCCAUGUGUUGGAAACCACCUAUCACAGUUUAAAAAAUGUUUACCGAUGAGAGAUAACAAAUACAUUGAAGAUGGAGAUUCAGAAAAUAUGUGCAAGGAAUUGAAAUUAGUACUAUGUUUUGCUGAUGUUAACAGAAAAGUCUGUGGCAAAGAUGGAGAAUUGUUUGCUAAAUUCAUGGAAGAUGGUUUCGGAGAUACAUACAAAGUUGCAUGCAGUGGAGCUUACGCAAUUGUCUUUAAUGUAUUGUUGAUUGCGUGCUCUGUCAUAAUUGGAUUUUAUUUUUAAAAACCUUAUACUACUUACGGAUGUAAAAAGUUUUUUUCUUUCUACUAUUUGUAUAUUGUUUUUUGAAAUGCGUUUUCAAGGUAGAAGAAUUAUAUAACUAAUAUACCAUGAUGCUUUUAGAGUUAAAAAUUUCUUGAUUUCGCAGUUGGAUCAGCUUUUGUAUGUCUAACAACUGGACAAUAAAAUAAGCAUAAUAAAAUAAUAGAGUUGUACUAAAAAUAAAAUAAUAAAGUUUUACAUGUAAUGGUAAUUUUUAUGUUCAUGCUGAGAAAAGUAAACAUCGUACUCCAUUAGCAAGAGCCUCUGUAUUGAUUUCUAACACUAUGGAAAAUCUGAACACUGUAUUUGCAGAGAAUGUUAUAAGAUAUUAUUUGCAUUUACGAAUAGUUUAUGGAAGACAAGUUCUCCAUCGUGCCUAUAUUGUCUUUUCUUAAACUAAAUUAGAUUUUUGCAUAGCAACAACUUUUAAACUGAACGUUUUUUUAUUGCUAGUCAUAAAUGUUUAAUUUUAGAAAUUUUCUCGAUGAUGAAUACAAAAUGUAUAGACAUUAACAAUUGCAAAGCUAUUAAGCGAAGAAAAGUUUUAAAAUGCUUCCGUUAUCGUCAAAUUGGUUUUGAGAUUUUUCCUCGCACCUUCCUCACCGGCGAUUCGACAAAUUUCGUAGUUGCUUAAAUGUUAAUUUUAUUUUAUAUCCAGCUUUGAACAGACGACCCAAUUCCUAGUUUACGACUAUCAAUGUUCAAUUACUUGUUCCCUGUAAUUUUGAAACUAACCCAGAAGGCAGGGGAACUCCUCGAUCAAGAAAUGUGACAAACUAACCUUCAAGAAGAACUUUUUGAUGGAACUAACCAGCAUUUAUGCUUCACACGGAUAAAAGUGCCACAAAACCUCCCACGGUUAGUCCGACUGCAAAAGAAUUCUAAGCCAUGUUUCGUCUACCACUGAGGAUAUUUUACGUUAUCACUGUGGUCACUGAGAGUCGGGAGCCGAGUUCGUAUCAAUCAUCCACAUCAUUGUGAUGCAAACGUUCUAUCCCUUGUUGUGACUUUCAGAUGUCUAUUUUUGACAAGGUUUCUAAAGAGGAUGGUGUUAAAAAGACGAUACUGAUUGAGCACGGUGUCGUGUAUUAAUUGACAAAUAAACGUUGUUUUCAGGUCCCCCCCCCACCCAAAAAUAGAACCCCAUGAAGAACUUAGAGAAUAAAAAUGCCAAUUUAGUUAUAAAGUAAGCGCUUAAAAUUAAAAUUGUUAAGCGGGCAAAAUUAAUAAAAUUCAAAAGAUAUAUCCCCUCUUGUUACAUAAUCAUCAAAAGUUCUUUCCAUUAGAAUAAAAAUAGAGAAUAAUUACGUAUCUUUAGUUUAAUAAACUAAAAUUUUUAGUUGUAUAUGAAAAUUUCACGUCUUGGUUGGAAUACUAAUUUUGAGAAGCAAGAAAACCUGUUGUUAAUAGUUCGGAAAAAAAAGCCAGAUUUAAAUAAAUCUUUUAUUUUAUAAGCAAAUUUUUAAAAGAGUACUCUUUCCUUUUUUUAUGGUUUUCUUAAGGCGAGUCAACUAAUCAUAAAUUGUACUUAUAAUUUUAUUUGACUUUGAAUUAAAUAUACAGAUGACUGAGAUAUUUAUCAAAAUCGAGCUCUUAUUACUGUAUUAGAGGAUAGGAAAUGCUUCCGGAGCUUUUCUAGCGAAAAAGCGGUAAUUUAAUAUAUAUCAAAUAUCAGAUAAGGUUUACGAUGACUUUUUAUGAAAAUAGAUAACAAUGCGUGUCUGUAAUCUUUAUUUGAUAAUAAUUCUUACAAUUGCGUCUGUUUAUCAGUCAAGUAGCGAACAUUGCAACGAAGAAAAGUUAAAGAAAUGUCUUAAUAUCUGGCCAAGAUUGAUGAAUGAGUUUUUUUUAUCUAGUAAGAUUGAACUUAUAAAAAGUGACCUUGAUAUUUACUGUGGGAGAGUUGAAGAAGAUGGCAAAUGCUUAGAAAAUGCUGCUGCUGAUUGUAAGAAAAAAUAUCCUCUGAAAGCAGCCACAUUUGCUAGUUUGUUGAAUAUUCUGAAAUGCCAACCAGGGACAGAUCGACGCCCGAUGUAUUUGAAAAUAGUUCCAUGUAUAGAAAACCACGUAUCACAGUUUGACAAAUGUUUACCGGUUCAAGAUCACAAACACAUUGAAGAUGGAGAUUUAGAAAUUUUAUGCAAGGGACCGAAAAUUUUUCUAUGUACUGCUGAUGCUAGCAGAAAAGUCUGUGGCAAAGAUGGAGAAUUGUUAGCUAAAUCCAUAGAAGAUGAUUUAAAAGAUAUAUACAAAGAUGUAUGCAGUGGAGCUUAUGCAAUUGUCUUUAAUGUAUUGUUGAUUACAUGCUCUGUCAUAAUUGGAUAUUGCUUUUAAAAACCUUAUGCUAUUUACGGAUGUUAAAAAAGUUUUUUCUUACCAUUUGUAUGCUGUUGUUUGAAAUUUGCUUUCAGGAUUGAAAAAUUAUAUAACUUAUAUAACAUGAUGCUUUUAGAGUUAAAAAUUUCCCAAUUUCGCACUUUGAUCAGCUUUUGUAAUGUCUAACAAUAAUGUCUAACAACUCUAACAAUAAUGUAAAUAUAAUAAAAUAAUAGAGUUGUACUAAAAAAUAAAAUAAUAAAGUUUUAUUUGUAAUGGUAA